CGGACUAAAAUCCGUUGGCUUUUUAGACCGUGAGGGUUCAAGUCCCUCUACCCCUA
This 56-nucleotide transfer RNA is filed under the name Syzygiella rubricaulis. RNAcentral's name for it is "partial tRNA-Leu". The record is from RNAcentral. Lineage: Eukaryota; Viridiplantae; Streptophyta; Jungermanniopsida; Jungermanniales; Adelanthaceae.